CAACCUGCCCCCAUGCAGCUCCCAAGUGAACCCACCAUAUUUUCCUUAUAUGACUGGGCUCCCGGGCAGGGGAGGCUUUGGCACUGGGAACCUGAAGUGAUUAUGCAACAAUGACCACAGGGGAUGAGAGGCUUGGGGGCCAGCUG
RNAcentral lists this small nucleolar RNA (146 nucleotides) under Phascolarctos cinereus (koala). RNAcentral describes it as "small Cajal body-specific RNA 17 (ENSPCIG00000016192.2)". The record is from RNAcentral. Lineage: Eukaryota; Metazoa; Chordata; Mammalia; Diprotodontia; Phascolarctidae.